Eupeodes corollae is the source of this 857-nucleotide long non-coding RNA. RefSeq lists it as uncharacterized. The transcript is spliced from 3 exons. NCBI's taxonomy places the organism in Eukaryota, Metazoa, Arthropoda, Insecta, Diptera, Syrphidae. The record is from RefSeq and is a predicted model, not a curated record.
GUCUUUUGAGCGGAAUUCUCUCGGAGACAUUUAGCUUCCAGGUAGUUGUCCGAUCAGCUGAUCGGACAAUCUUUCCGACGAAAUUCCACGCAUGCAAUUUGCAUGCGAUGUUUUGCAAUGAAGUAUUUGUUUGGUUUUAUUCUUGACACAAUUUGCCGAAGUCCUCCGAAAAGUUUUUGUUGCGGAAAGUGUUUUCUAUAGCAAAACGAAAAAACAAGCGCUCAGCAAUAUGAGGGAAUGGUAAAUCUGAUGAGCGAAUAUCCAGACAUAGCUCAAAACUAUACAAAAAGGUCACCAGAAAUUGUGGCUGUGUUUUGGGAAGAUCUGGCCAAUCAGUUAAAUCCAUUGGGACCAAGGCAAAGGGAUGUUGGUGAAUUGAAAAAGUUUGGAGUGACUAUAAGUCUUACAUUAAAAAAAAACUCUCGGCAAAUAAAAAAGAAAUAGCGGGUACUAGUGGAGGACCAUGCAGGCAAAAGUCUUUCACCCCUUAAGAGGACGCUGUGAUAGCCUUAACAAAUAUUGGCAGCUCUGUAAGGGCAUUGGAGCUGCAUCAUUUGGAGCAGGAAGCACAGCACGCCAAGUGCCACCUCGGGAAUCUUCCACAUCAAAUACCGCUGCCGCUGAUGAGAACACAAAAGAGGACAAUCGACCAUCACCUGUGCAGCACCAAAACUCAGCCGAAAAUUGGACCAGACGCUGAAUUCGAUUCAGCUUUUAACAAAACAGAUUAAAAAUCAAGAACAUUUUUAUAAGGGCACAACCAAAACCUUAAGAAGGGUUUCUCGAUCACUCGAAGAUGUUUGCAAAAUUAAAAGAGAAAAACUAAAAGAGACGCAAACUUACAACACUGACAUGAG